GACGAACGCUGGCGGCGUGCCUAACACAUGCAAGUCGAGCGGGGAGGAGAAAGCUUGCUUUCGAAUCCUAGCGGCGGACGGGUGAGUAACGCGUGAGCAACCUGCCUCAAACAGGGGGAUAACGCAUCGAAAGAUGUGCUAAUACCGCGUAAGACCACAGCACCGCAUGGUGCAGAGGUCAAAGGAGCAAUCCGGUUUGAGAUGGGCUCGCGUCCGAUUAGCUAGUUGGUGAGAUAACAGCCCACCAAGGCGACGAUCGGUAGCCGACCUGAGAGGGUGAUCGGCCACACUGGAACUGAGAAACGGUCCAGACUCCUACGGGAGGCAGCAGUGGGGAAUAUUGGGCAAUGGGCGAAAGCCUGACCCAGCAACGCCGCGUGAGGGAAGAAGGGUUUCGGGCUCGUAAACCUCUGUCCUAUGGGACGAAUAAAUGACGGUACCAUAGGAGGAAGCCCCGGCUAACUACGUG
RNAcentral lists this ribosomal RNA (469 nucleotides) under uncultured bacterium. RNAcentral describes it as "bacterial SSU rRNA". It matches the Rfam family "Bacterial small subunit ribosomal RNA", at positions 28 to 507 of the family's 1533-position model. The record is from RNAcentral.